Helianthus annuus (common sunflower) is the source of this 430-nucleotide long non-coding RNA. RefSeq lists it as uncharacterized. NCBI's taxonomy places the organism in Eukaryota, Viridiplantae, Streptophyta, Magnoliopsida, Asterales, Asteraceae. The record is from RefSeq and is a predicted model, not a curated record. The transcript has 3 exons.
GUCGAUCGUUCAAGCAGAGACAAGGGGUGAAACCCUAGUUUCACCAAAUCCAUCCAAUUGAGAAGGAAAUUCAAGGAAAAAUCGAAUGCAUGAAACCCUAUUUCGAACAUCAAACCUUGCUCAUUAAAAUGGCGUGAAAGAAGAAAGUUCAAGCACUAAGAAAACGGAAGACACGCAUGAUCGAGGUAAAUACUCAAUUUAGGCGACUUGGAGAAUUGGAGCGAGCACAUGUUCAUGAUAUGUCAUACCAAACGCUUCCGUUAGUUGCACUAAUGUUUUGGGUCAAAAUUUCUAUUUUGUACAACUUGUUAGUAGACAUAUAUUUUAACGCUUGAUGCCUAGGUUUUUAGUAGUGCCUUGUCGAACAAUUUGUAGAAUGGUAUUUGUCUUUUUUUUUAUGUUUAAAACAGGGGUAUAUCCAUUUUACAGA